This 747-nucleotide ribosomal RNA is filed under the name uncultured Pseudomonas sp. RNAcentral describes it as "bacterial SSU rRNA". It matches the Rfam family "Bacterial small subunit ribosomal RNA", at positions 15 to 759 of the family's 1533-position model. Lineage: Bacteria; Pseudomonadati; Pseudomonadota; Gammaproteobacteria; Pseudomonadales; Pseudomonadaceae. The record is from RNAcentral.
GAUCUGCUCAGAUUGAACGCUGGCGGCAGGCCUAACACAUGCAAGUCGAGCGGUAGAGAGAAGCUUGCUUCUCUUGAGAGCGGCGGACGGGUGAGUAAUACCUAGGAAUCUGCCUGAUAGUGGGGGAUAACGUUCGGAAACGGACGCUAAUACCGCAUACGUCCUACGGGAAAAAGCAGGGGACCUUCGGGCCUUGCGCUAUCAGAUGAGCCUAGGUCGGAUUAGCUAGUUGGUGAGGUAAUGGCUCACCAAGGCUACGAUCCGUAACUGGUCUGAGAGGAUGAUCAGUCACACUGGAACUGAGACACGGUCCAGACUCCUACGGGAGGCAGCAGUGGGGAAUAUUGGACAAUGGGCGAAAGCCUGAUCCAGCCAUGCCGCGUGUGUGAAGAAGGUCUUCGGAUUGUAAAGCACUUUAAGUUGGGAGGAAGGGCAGUUACCUAAUACGUGAUUGUCUUGACGUUACCGACAGAAUAAGCACCGGCUAACUCUGUGCCAGCAGCCGCGGUAAUACAGAGGGUGCAAGCGUUAAUCGGAAUUACUGGGCGUAAAGCGCGCGUAGGUGGUUUGUUAAGUUGAAUGUGAAAUCCCCGGGCUCAACCUGGGAACUGCAUCCAAAACUGGCAAGCUAGAGUAUGGUAGAGGGUAGUGGAAUUUCCUGUGUAGCGGUGAAAUGCGUAGAUAUAGGAAGGAACACCAGUGGCGAAGGCGACUACCUGGACUGAUACUGACACUGAGGUGCGAAAG